AGUGAACGCUGGCGGUAGGCCUAACACAUGCAAGUCGAACGGCAGCACAGUAAGAGCUUGCUCUUACGGGUGGCGAGUGGCGGACGGGUGAGGAAUACAUCGGAAUCUACUUUUUCGUGGGGGAUAACGUAGGGAAACUUACGCUAAUACCGCAUACGACCUACGGGUGAAAGCAGGGGAUCUUCGGACCUUGCGCGAUUGAAUGAGCCGAUGUCGGAUUAGCUAGUUGGCGGGGUAAAGGCCCACCAAGGCGACGAUCCGUAGCUGGUCUGAGAGGAUGAUCAGCCACACUGGAACUGAGACACGGUCCAGACUCCUACGGGAGGCAGCAGUGGGGAAUAUUGGACAAUGGGAGCAAGCCUGAUCCAGCCAUACCGCGUGGGUGAAGAAGGCCUUCGGGUUGUAAAGCCCCUUUGUUGGGAAAGAAAAGCAGCAGGUUAAUACCCCGCUGUUCUGACGGUACCCAAAGAAUAAGCACCGGCUAACUUCGUG
Molecule: ribosomal RNA, 492 nt
Filed under: uncultured bacterium
Lineage: Bacteria
Description: partial 16S ribosomal RNA
Rfam family: Bacterial small subunit ribosomal RNA
Source: RNAcentral